GGGUGAUUAGCUCAGAUGGUAGAGCAGCUGACUCUUAAUCAGCGGGUCGAAGGUUCGAUUCCUUCAUCACCCACCA
This 76-nucleotide transfer RNA is filed under the name Alphaproteobacteria bacterium. Its description in RNAcentral is "tRNA-Lys". It matches the Rfam family "tRNA". From Rfam's summary of the family: Transfer RNA (tRNA) molecules are approximately 80 nucleotides in length. Their secondary structure includes four short double-helical elements and three loops (D, anti-codon, and T loops). Further hydrogen bonds mediate the characteristic L-shaped molecular structure. tRNAs have two regions of fundamental functional importance: the anti-codon, which is responsible for specific mRNA codon recognition, and the 3' end, to which the tRNAs corresponding amino acid is attached (by aminoacyl-tRNA synthetases). tRNAs cope with the degeneracy of the genetic code in two manners: having more than one tRNA (with a specific anti-codon) for a particular amino acid; and 'wobble' base-pairing, i.e. permitting non-standard base-pairing at the 3rd anti-codon position. Lineage: Bacteria; Pseudomonadati; Pseudomonadota; Alphaproteobacteria. The record is from RNAcentral. RNAcentral also lists the same sequence under 1 other name.